Molecule: small nuclear RNA, 104 nt
Organism: Grammomys surdaster
Lineage: Eukaryota; Metazoa; Chordata; Mammalia; Rodentia; Muridae
Source: RefSeq, a predicted model, not a curated record
GUGCUCACUUCCGCAGCUCAUGUACUAAACUUGGAAUAAUACAAAGAUUAGCAUGGCCCCUGCACAAGGAUGACACGCAAAUUUGUGAAGCGUUCCAUAUUUUU